This 767-nucleotide ribosomal RNA is filed under the name uncultured Neocallimastigales. Its description in RNAcentral is "partial large subunit ribosomal RNA". It matches the Rfam family "Eukaryotic large subunit ribosomal RNA", at positions 22 to 644 of the family's 3401-position model. Lineage: Eukaryota; Fungi; Neocallimastigomycota; Neocallimastigomycetes; Neocallimastigales. The record is from RNAcentral.
CAUAGCGACUAUCGUGGCAUAUCAAUAAGCGGAGGAAAAGAAACUAACAAGGAUUCCCCUAGUAACGGCGAGUGAAGCGGGAAGAGCUCAAAUUUGAAAUCUUAAAGGUUUUCCCUUGACGAAUUGUAGUUUAAAGAAGUGUUUUCUGUUGAAGUUUUCGGUAAAAGUUCUUUGGAAUAGGACAUCAUAGAGGGUGAGAAUCCCGUAUUUGACCAUUACUUUUCCAGCUGUGUGAUACACUUUCAAAGAGUCGGAUUGUUUGGGAAUGCAGUCCAAAAUGGGUGGUAAAUUUCAUCUAAAGCUAAAUAUUGGCGAGAGACCGAUAGCGAACAAGUACCGUGAGGGAAAGAUGAAAAGAACUUUGAAAAGAGAGUUAAACAGUACGUGAAAUUGUCAAAAGGGAAGCGUUUGACACCAGUGUUGUUUAGUUGAAAAUCAAUUCAUAUUUGAUUUGUAUUGACUUCAUCAGCUUGCUGCUUUCUUUUCGGAAAUUAUUGAAUGCACUUUUCAGUUAACAAGUCAACAUCAAUUUCUUUUGUUGUAAAAGGGUAAGAGGAAGGUGGCUUACGCUUCGGCGUAAGUGUUUAUAGCCUUUUACCUCUGCAAUCGGAGAGAUUGAGGACAGCAGCGUAGACUCUUCGGGGUUAGAUACGCUUGUGCUAAGCUAUAGCCUUGUAUAGACAACUUGUUGACUAUGCUCAGUCAUGUAGCUUACUCGCUUGUGCUAUUUUACCUACGCUUAGGAUGUUGAUAGUCACAGCGUGUAC